GAGUUUGAUCAUGGCUCAGAUUGAACGCUGGCGGCAGGCCUAACACAUGCAAGUCGAGCGGAUGACGGGAGCUUGCUCCUUGAUUCAGCGGCGGACGGGUGAGUAAUGCCUAGGAAUCUGCCUGGUAGUGGGGGGACAACGUUUCGAAAGGAACGCUAAUACCGCAUACGUCCUACGGGAGAAAGCAGGGGACCUUCGGGCCUUGCGCUAUCAGAUGAGCCUAGGUCGGAUUAGCUAGUUGGUGGGGUAAUGGCUCACCAAAGGCGACGAGUCCGUAACUGGUCUGACGAGGAUGAUCAGUCACACUGGAACUGAGACACGGUCCAGACU
This 330-nucleotide ribosomal RNA is filed under the name bacterium enrichment culture clone ALO1_GLFRUDD03FOC4A. Its description in RNAcentral is "bacterial SSU rRNA". It matches the Rfam family "Bacterial small subunit ribosomal RNA", at positions 9 to 337 of the family's 1533-position model. The record is from RNAcentral.